GCCAGCGUAGCUCAGAGGUAGAGCAACGGUUUCGUAAACCGUCGGUCGUCGGUUCGACUCCGACCGCUGGCUCCA
Molecule: transfer RNA, 75 nt
Filed under: Chloroflexota bacterium
Lineage: Bacteria; Bacillati; Chloroflexota
Also listed under: 1 other name
Description: Chloroflexi bacterium (cold seep metagenome) tRNA-Thr
Rfam family: tRNA
About the family: Transfer RNA (tRNA) molecules are approximately 80 nucleotides in length. Their secondary structure includes four short double-helical elements and three loops (D, anti-codon, and T loops).
Source: RNAcentral